RNAcentral lists this ribosomal RNA (349 nucleotides) under uncultured bacterium. RNAcentral describes it as "bacterial SSU rRNA". It matches the Rfam family "Bacterial small subunit ribosomal RNA", at positions 71 to 422 of the family's 1533-position model. The record is from RNAcentral.
GCACGGGGGCAACCCUGGUGGCGAGUGGCGAACGGGUGAGUAAUGCAUCGGAACGUGCCCAGUAGUGGGGGAUAACUAGUCGAAAGAUUAGCUAAUACCGCAUACGACCUAUGGGUGAAAGCGGGGGACCUUUACCGGCCUCGCGCUAUCGGAGCGGCCGAUGUCUGAUUAGCUAGUUGGCGGGGUAAAAGCCCACCAAGGCGACGAUCAGUAGCUGGUCUGAGAGGACGACCAGCCACACUGGACUGAGACACGGCCCAGACUCCUACGGGAGGCAGCAGUGGGGAAUUUUGGACAAUGGGCGCAAGCCUGAUCCAGCCAUGCCGCGUGCGGGAAGAAGGCCUUCGGG